Molecule: long non-coding RNA, 269 nt
Filed under: Prunus dulcis (almond)
Lineage: Eukaryota; Viridiplantae; Streptophyta; Magnoliopsida; Rosales; Rosaceae
Description: sRNA ncRNA
Source: RNAcentral
AUGUUCACACUCUUGGAAGAUGACAAUCAAGUCAAAAACUUGAUAGAAUUGACAAAGAUAUUAAAAUAUCCUUAUGGAAGGAAAAUAUUGUUUGGAAUAUUUAGAGCAAGAGGGGGAAAAAAAAGGUAUAGACUCCUCAUCUCCAUGACCAAAACCAUGAAUAGCUUCCUCCUCGAAGAAAUUAUAAAUCUCUCUCCCUUUCUUUCUGUUAUAAAAUAUACACAUUGAAAUCUUAUUCAAAGAACUAACUUAGGAAUAUCUUUGAGAAG